This 11408-nucleotide long non-coding RNA is filed under the name Nicotiana benthamiana. Its description in RNAcentral is "long non-coding RNA (NBEN_LNC012246)". The record is from RNAcentral. Lineage: Eukaryota; Viridiplantae; Streptophyta; Magnoliopsida; Solanales; Solanaceae.
CGGGACCAGCUAUGCCUGAAUCUGCACACAGGAUAUAGGGAGUAAAGUGAGUACUCCAACUCAGUGAGUAACAAAUGUAAAUAACAAUUGACAGUAAGAAUACACGAAAAUCACAAGGCAUUCUAUAAUGAAGCAGUAAACAACAUUUAAAAGUAGCGAUAAAUCUAGUAAAAUCCUUUCUAAAUAAAUAAAUAGGUAAUUAACAGACAAUUUAGGUAAAGUAAACAAAUAGAAGUUUUCCCCUCGAGUAUGGUAUCAACAAAUCCUCCCCUCUGGAAACAACUCGAAACAUCUCAAACCCCUCGGGCUCAAUCUCACAUCACAAUGGGUAUCUACGCUCACUUGGAGUGUGCGGACUCCUGGAUGGGCCCCUUACGGCCCAAGCACACUAACAAGCUAUCUCGUGGUAUCAAAACUAGGCCCUUGGCCUAAUAUCAAUCAAGCCACCUCAUAGGAUACAUAAUCUCAGGCCCUCGGCCUCAAAAUUGUAUCCCUGUUUCCUCACAACAUAGGCCAUCGGCCUUACUCAGUCAAAAAUACUCACAAGCCUCUCGGGCGAUAGUAAAACAAUUUUUUUGAACUGAAACAGCAUGUAAAAUAUUAUUUAAGUCUCAAAACUAAGUAAAAAUGGUUGUGUAGUAAAAUAGUGGAAUAUAACAUGAAUGAGUUCAAGUAAUAAGUAAAAACAUUGAAGAAAUACAAAACGAAAGAUUCAAAUAGUUGGCACGAAGCCCAAAUAUGGCAUUUUACCUAAUAAAUGAUGAUGGAAAAUAAAUUCCAAUCAAAUAUGCGAUAAAAUCAUCGACCUGGAAGACCAAGACAUAAUCCCCAAUAAUGUACGACCUCAGGCUCAUCAUCAAGCGUGUGUCUCACCUCAAUAUAGCACUACGAUGUGCAAUCCGGGGUUUCACACCCUCAGAACAUCAUUUACAGUCAUUACUCACCUCGAACUGGAUAAAUCUCUACUCGCGAAGCCUUUUCCCCUCAAAUAUCCUUCCACGUGCGUCAGAUAUAUCCAAAAUCAGAACAAGGGCAUCAAAAUAUUCUAAGGGAACAAAGCCCAAGAGAAAACCAUCAAUAAAGGGCACAAAUUCCUAAAUUACCAAAACCCGACCCCUAAUCCCACGACUCGAAAUUCAUAAAUUUUCACAUCAAUGGAUUCUUUAUCUUGCCACAAGUUCAUACAUAUCAAAAGUUCUCAAAUCUGACCCCAAAUGGUCCUUCAAGUCCCAAACCAAGUCCAAUUUCUCAAGACCUAGUUCUUCAAUUUUUGGCUUAGUUUUCAUGAUUUUCUAUGUGAAAUUAACAAAUCAAUCGUAUUUGUAGUUCGAACAUCUUACCUCUCAAUGAUUCCUGUUGAAUCCCUCCUCAAUCUCCUUCAAAAAUCACCCAAAAUGGACAACUAUGGAGGAAAUAAGCCUCAAAAUCACGGACAAGACGAGCUAAAAACAUUCUGCCCAUGCCCGGAAUACCUUCUUCGCAAACACGGUCAAACUCUCGCGUUCGCAAAGUGCAAACUUACUUUUACCAAUUUUUCCUAUACGCGAUCACGACCAAGCCCCUAUGAACAUGAUGCUUUACCCAUGCAAACCUUCGCAAAAAUGCUCCGUACAUCGCAAACGCGAUGAGCAACCUUCACCUCAACUAGCUGACUGAAAGACCCUAUGUGAACACGACUACCAUCUCACGAAUACGAUUCACCAAUUCCUUAGUCCUUCACGAAUGCGAAGCUUCCAUCACAAAUGUGAAGGCUUAAUCCUUCCCUUCCUCAACCGCCCCUUCAAACGCGAGGUUCCACUAGCGAACGCGAAGGGAAAAAUCCCUACAAUGGGUGAACAUAUUUUUUUCAAUUUUCUGAACUCCUAAAUGAUCCGAUUGACCGCCUGAAACUCACCCGAGGCCCCUGAGACCUCAAUCAAAGGCACAAACAUAUCCUAAUACCUUAAUCAAACUUCUUCCAAUUAUCAAAAUACCUCUAACAAUAUCAAAUCACCCAAAACACAUCGAAUUCAAGCUUAAGUUUCUAAAAUCUUCCGAAAUAUGCUUUUGAUCAAAAACCCAACCAAACUACGUCUGAAUGACUUAAAAUUUUACACACACAUCCCAAAUGGCAUAACUAAGCUAUUACAACUCUCAUAAUUCUAUUUGGCCCCUAUAUCAAAAUUUCGCCUAUAAACUGGAAACUGCCAAAAUAUCAACUUCGCCAAUUCAAGCCUAAAAAUCCUAAGUCAUAAAUUACCUUCCAAAGCUAAAUGAACCAUCGUUACUCACAUACGAGCCCUCUAACAUAUAAGUCAAUAUCCGGUUGACAUUUUUAACUUAAACUUCCUUAUAAGAGACUAAGUGUCUCAAACCUUACCAAAUCCUUUCUGAACCCAAACCAAUCAACUGUAUCACAUAUAGGACCACUAUACAAAGCAAUUUGUAGCAGAAAUGGGAAAAAAAGGAGCAGUAACUCUGAGAUGACUGGCCGAAUCGUCAUAUCGAAUUACUUUUCGGUUAUAUCACAUGUUUAUUCCUUGUUUUCAUUUACUGCUUAUUCCUUGCAUUAUUAGCUUUAUGCUUAUUUAAUACACAAGUUAUUAAGACUAGUAGGUGUCUUUACUUGUACCUUGUCACUAUUCUACAGAAUUUAGUCUUGACACUUAUUGGGUACCGACCUUGGUGUACUCAUACUAUACUUGUGCACAUUUUUGUGUAGAUACACGUAUUGAAGAUAUUGGACCCAAGUAGAAUUAGCUUCUUGAUCGUGAAGAUUCAAGGUAGAGCUGCUUGGUCGUUGCAGUCCCUUCAAUUUCUUUCCCUUCUAUUGUACUAUCAAUUCAUUAUCCAAACAAUAUUGUAUUUUGAUUUGUGAGAUAUUUAUAUGUAUUCAUCUAAAAAUAUCUCAAAAAUCAUGAAACCAUCCCCAAAAAUUUUUAAAAAUAUUUCUAUGUAUUCAUCUCUACUCCUUCGGGGUAGAGGUACGACUUGAGGAUACACUACCCUCUCUAGACCCCACUAGUGAAAUUUUACUAGGUUGUUGUUGUCUAUGUAUUCAUCUAGAGUUUGUGACUCUGUAUUAUCUAGUUUUGGGAGGUUGUUGUGAUUGUUGUCACGCAGGCUUCUUUCACCUUUUCCCUUGGUAUUUAUAUGCAGCUCUGUUUUUAAAAUAUCAUUAUUAAACUGGCUUAGUUCUUGUAUGUAAUCGACUUACCUAGUCUUAGAGACUAGGUUUUAUCACAAUGCUUAAGGAGGGAUUUUAGAUCGUGACAUGUAACUUAGUAAACACUUUCCUAUUGUCCAUUAAUGAUUGUGGAGCCACACACUCGCAACUAUACAACUGACUGUAUAGACAUAGUCUAAUCAUCCAAUCCUUCAUUUUGAAUAUUUUCUUUUCAUUAAUUGCUUGGAUAAUUCUUACAUAUUCAUCUUAUAUUUUUGAACUUGUGUAUACAUUUGGUUGAGUGUCAGGGUCAAGGAUGAGUUCGAUAUUGUAGUAUGUAAGUAAUGAACUUAAGAAAUUGCAUAAGUUGAUGUUAAGUCUCGAUUUUACUAUACGCGCUUAGAUCAGUGCUUUGAAGCUUCUAAUAAGUCUAUAUAAUCUUUUUAUACUUGUACGAACGUUCGGAUUAGGCCUCGAGGGGCUCGGGAGACUUUUAGCACUAUUGCAUGAAAAUUAUGAUUUUAAGAAUUCGUAAGUUGAGUUGAGUUAUAGUUUUGAUUUAAAGCAUUUCGCUUUAUGUUUCGAGCCUUUGGAUAAAUCGAUAUAUUUUAUUAAAACAUAUCAGGGAUCAUAUGAAUUUUAAGGAGUUGGGGGAAGGUUUUUAAGCCAAAAACCAAGAAAACCAGUUGGUGCAGAAGUUUUACACUGACUUGCUUCUGGCUUGCCCACAGGUGUUGCAACAAGUAUGCCUUAAAAUUUUAUUUGUCUAUAUAAAUGGCUAAAAUUGUCUAUAUAAAUGGCUAUUUUGUACAGUAAGUUCAUUUUGGUAUUUUCGGAGCUAGAAAGCUCGAUUUGAGGUAACUUUUGAAGGAUUUUUACCUUUAACAUCGCGGUAAAUACUAACUCAAAUGUAUGGUUUUUACAUAAAUUUAUCUUUAGUUUUUCCAUAAAAUAAAUAGACUUUAAUUUUGUAUUAGAAUUAAUGAACUUCAAUCUUUUCUUAAAAUUAAUGAAUGAAAUGAUUUUACAAAAAUUUAUAAAAUGGAUUUUUGACUUGAAUGAAAAUAAAGUGGUUUUGGUGAUUUUAGCUAGUAAGUGACAUCAAGUCUGGAUUUUUAUUAUGGAGAUUAUUUUGUUUCUUUUAGUAAAUAAUUUAUGAAUUUUGUUUAGGAUUUUUAUUACGCUGGCUGAAACCAAUAUUUGUGUUGACCAAAAACAGAUUUUGAAUUUUAAGCUUUCUAGAAUUAUGAGAAUAGCUUUCUUAGUCUAAUUUGGACCCGUAAUUUAUGAUUUUUGAAUAGAUUAAGGCUAUUUGAGAUUGUCUCAAUAAUAUUUGACGAUUCAAGAGUAGCUUUGAUGAAAAGUUUUCCCAUUUUUUAGGGUAAGUAAGACUUUAAAUCUUAGUUUUCUUACAUUUCCUUAAAAGCAAACUAUGUACAACAUUUGUAUGCAACUAUUUUAUGUGUGUCAAAAAGCAUGAGAUAGGUUGGUGUAAUGACUCGGCCGGUUGUUUCCAGUAUUUUAGCCUUAUUUCCCUUAUUUGAUGCCUUACUUAUAUGUAGUUGUGGAUAUGUAACUUGUCGGGGUGAUUGAAUUAUUUCAGGAAGGUUUUGGAGUGAAUUAGGACACUUAGUCCCAAGGUUGAAAGCUUAAGCUAAAAGAGUUGACCAUAAUUUGACUUUUCUGUAGACAAGUCCAUACAUGAGUUUUGAUAGUUCCAACAGCUUUGUAUAGUAGUUUUUGACUUAGGCGUAUGUCCGAAUUUGGAUAUGGAGAUCCGUAGGUUGAUUUUCAUAUUUUAUGGAGAAAGUUGGAAAGUUGAAGGUUGAUAGGUUUGACUGAGAAUUGAAUUUGUUGUCACUGGUUCAAAUUUUUGUUCUAGGGGUUAGAAUAGGUCUGUGGUGUAAUUUGGGACUUGCAUGAAAAAUUUAAGGUCAUUCGGAGUUGAUUUGAUAUGGUUCGGCAUGAGUUUUGAAAGUUUAAAGUUCAUUAGUUUCUUUGGGAUUAAAUUGGGGUCCAUCUCGUGGUUUUGUUAUUGUUUCAUGUGAUUUGAGGCUUCGAGUAGGUUCAUAUUGUAUUUUAGGACUUGUUUUGGUUGGGGUCCUGGUGCCUCGGGUAUGUCUCGGAUUGAGAUCAGAUUAAUUGGGACUAAGAGAAAUUGUUGAAGGUUGCAGCUUCUGAUAUUUUAGCAUCUGCAGAGGGCUUGGCAGUAUAUGCGGAGCUGCAGGUGUGGUCUUUAUACGCAUAUGCAAUGUGUGGUGGAGGCUAGCUAGGAACGCAUGUGCAAUAUAAAGCCAUCUACAAGCCCGCAGAUGCAGAUGAGGAGGUGCAGAAGCGAACUUGAAUGGAGUCAUGAGUAUUUCACAGACGUAGAAGUUGGAUAGCAAAAGCGUUCCCACAUGUGCUGAGUAAGGGCCACAAGUGCGCAUGGUGCGGGUAAUUAUUGAAUUUCAUCACCAAUGAUGGAAUUGGCCGCAAGUGCAAUUGAGUGAGCAGCAGGUGCAAUUUUUAUGGCAGACUCUAUUACAUCAAGUGUUUAUGUGUUUUUCUCAUUUUUGGAUUUGUGAAGCUCGUUUUAAGGCGAUUUUCGGAGUGCUUUUCAUCUUAAUUUAAGAGGUAAGUAAUGUUUUGUACCGACACACCGAUCGUUUUGAGUAUUAAAGACUCGUAUCCCCAUUUAUUUCCCAAUAUAUAUUUGUUUGUCAUUAUGUAAAUUGCUAGGGUGGUUGGUUUGGUUCCGAAAAUAUUUCAGAAUGAAUUGGGACACUUAGUCCCAAGGUUGGAAGCCUAAGUUGAAAGAGUUGACCAUAUAUUGACUAUUGGGCAAAUGGCUCAUGAAUGGAGUUUUAAUGGUUCUGAUAACUCUGUAUGGUGAUUUAGGACUUAGGAUUGUGUCCGGAUAUUGAUUUGGAGGUACGUAGAUGAUUUUGGCUUGAAUUGGUGAAGUUGAAAAAGAUAAAAGUUUGGAGAGUUAAGAAGUUUGAACGAGAGUUGACUUUUUGGUUAUCGGACUCGAAUUUUGGUUCGGGAAUGAGAAUAUGUCCACUGUAUCUAUUAUGACUUGUGUGCAAACAUUAAGGUUAAUCGGAGUUGAUUUGAUAGGUUUCGAUAACGAUUGUAGAAGCUGGAAUUCAUUAGUUUUCAUUUAGGCUCGAAUUGGGGUGCAACACGUGUUUUGAUGUUGUUUGAUCUUAUUUGAGGCCCCGACUAAGUUUGUAUCAUGUUUUAGAAUGUGUUAGUAUUCAUGGAUUAGGUCCCGAGGGUCUCGGGGGUGAUUCGGGUUGAAACCAUAUUGGAGUUUGAACUUAAACAAAAGCUGAAGAGUCCUAGUCUGGUGCAAUCGCACCUGCAAGGCAAUUGGUCGCAGGUGCGAGAUCGAAGAAGUGUGGCUAACAGAAGCAUAUUUUUGUAGGGCUGGGGGGAUGAAUAGGUGCGACGUUUUUGCCGCAUCUACGAAAGUAUAGAUGCGAGAAUGGGAGCACAAGUGCAAAAGGAAAGAGGCAGGCGUUUUUUGCAUAAGCGGAGCCGAGGUUGCUGGUGCGACUCCCCAAAUGCGGGAGUCUGGUCCGCAGAAGCGAAGGCAAGGCCUUUAGGGGGAACCCGCAGAAGCGGAAUUUGGCUCGCAGGUGCAAGAUGUCUGGCAGAGUUAUAAGGUCGGGGGUUAAGUUAUUUUUCUCAUUUUUGGACUUUGGAAGAUUGGAUUGAGGAGAUUCUUUGAGGGAUUUCAAGGGAUUUAUUGGGUACGUGAUUAUAACUCGAAUUUGGAUUAUAUAUAUGAAUCCAUCAUUAUUUUAUAAUUUCAUUAGUAUUUUGGGUUGGAAAAAUUAGGAAAAUUAUAAGACUUUCAUAGGCUUAAAUUCAAGGAUUUAAAGGUCAAGUUGUGAUCAGAAUCGAGUAAUUUUAGAAUGGUUGGACUCGUCAUUAAAUGAGUGUCAAGAUUUUGUAACCUUUUGUUGGAUUCCGAGAUGUGGGCUUGGGGUUGACUUUUUGAGUAGGCUUUUUGACCUUAGAUAAAGAUCGUAGUUUUAUUAAAUGGAAUCAAUUCCUACAGCUUUCUAAAGUUUAUCUAGUACACAUCACAUUUGACAGAUGGCGCGUGUGUAUAUUACACGUAAAAGAAGCACGUGAAUGUAAAAAUUUUGUGUCUUAAUCAUUACUUAAACGUCAUAUGUCCUGCCUUUUUUGCUUUUAAACUUUUUUGCGACAUAUUUAUUUAUUAAACAUUAUUGGAAAUUAAAGUCUGGUCGUAUGAAAUGUACACUCGAGUUUGAAAUUACAAAUCACAACUAUGACACGGGAAUGGUACUUAUAGCUAUGAUAAUUUAUUUAAUUAACGCGCCUAGAUAAAACUACGAAUAUUUAUUUUUAAAUAUCUAAGUUAUAAUGUUAAUGUGAGGGCCAUAGGUGAUUCAUUUAUGAAUGGCACACCUCAAUCUAUUUUUAAAGAAUUGUACUUAAUUAAAGCGAUCUAAUGAUGUUCGAGUUUAAUCUAAAUUAAAGUUUAGUCUAAUACUACUAAUUACAAAUAUGCAUGAGAUAACACAUUGGGAAACUGGUUAUUUGAAAGAAAAAGGGCCAACAGACAAGUCCCUUAAGUUGUUGAAAUUCAAAUGACCAAGAUCGCUGAAAACGAAGGGUUAACUAGGCCUUAAAAGCGAACCCACAAAUGAAAGUGAAAGGGCUUUGGGGCACACGGGCCUGGUUUGGAUCAGGCAUCCUCGUUUGGGCCAUUAACAGGCCUGGCCGCUUCUAAAGAAGGCCCUUCAGCGUUAUAACCUACUGAGGCUUGUUCCAUAUAUAAACAACCAUUUGCACAAAUUCUAAAAAAAGCACAAAUGCUGAACACUUUAUUCUGCAGACUUACAAUUUAUUGAUAUGUUAUGAGUAAUACAUUAUUAAUAUAAACUAACCUAAACUAUUACCUAAGGCAUUAAGAUCAACCAAGUAAGCAUUCGACCAUAAUUGCAAUUCUGAAAUAUAAUCUGAUCAUGAAUUGAUAACUGAACAUUGAACAAACUUUUGAAAGUGCAUGGACUUAGACUUCAAAAUUUAAGAGAAGAAAAAUAUAUCAUGAUCACCAUACUAUUCAAUAGACCUUCACAGCAUACAACCAAAGAUACGGGAGAAUGACAUUAUACAGUCAUUCAUGGACUUCCAAAUAAAACCAACACAUGAAAGAUGAAAUAUUAAGCGACUCAUUACUGAUUCUCCCAGCACAUACAUAUCAGAAUCUAUCCCUAUCGUAAUUUUGUAUUUUUCUUUGGCUACAAUCCACAGAUUAUGAACCAUUAAUCAAUCAACUAUGAUUAAACUUAAUCUAUGAAAGGAAAGACAAAUUUAAUAUAACAUAUCAGAAUAACUAAACUAACGACUAUGAUGAAAAAUUUCAGCAAGUCAUCUUUCAAAGACUGCUAAAUCAUCUAUAUACACCCAGAGCUUCCAUUUUUAGCUUUGAUUCCCAUGGAUCUGACCAUGUCAAAGAUCAGACUCACCAAGAGCAUGGUUUCAUAUGUGUUAUUAGUAACAUUGCCAUAUAAACUCAGCCAACGGGUGAAAAAUAUUAGUCCAGAAUGACACAAAAUAGUAUAUAUAACCUAAAUGACAAAUAACGUGUUUGAUACACAAGACAACAGGUUUAACAUGACAUGGAAACACUGAAACUUGACAAGAAAUCACAUAGUCAAAAAAUCUCAAUUGUUUUUGCAUUCAUUGAAAUAAAUCUCAUUUUAAGAAAAAUAGCAUCGAACAAGAGUCUAUUGCAUUCAUAUCAAAUCAGGUUUUGGAAAUAAUUAAAGACAAAAUGAAAUGUAUACCUAAUUGCUUAAAGAUUGAACCAAAAUGCAAAAUAGAAGUAUAUAGUUCAACGGUAGAGAAAUAGCAGCAAUAAUCAAUACCCAGCUUUAAUAUCAAUUCAUAAGAGCUCAAAACCCCAGAAAUCUCUAAAAAGAUUGUUAACUUUGUCACCAAAAAAGAAAAUAGAAGACGCUCCCAACUGAAUUUAUUUUCAGAGGAUUUUUACAGUCUGUUUUUCUUUCCUCAAGAGUUAGGGAAGGGUUAUAUUUAUAGGCCAUCUGAAAUAUCAUGUGCCCAAAAAUAGAAAAAAAAGAAUUAUUCCCUCACACAAGCAUCUUUUAAUAGAAUUAGGACACAACUUUUAAUUGGUUUUAGUAUUUGUGCUGGCCAAAAAUUGAGCUAGCUGUUCCAAAUUCUAGAAACUUCUAACAUUAGCCUUAUCUAAAAAAAAUAUUUCAUACCCUUCUAAGAUCCCUUAAGUUUUUUUUUCUGUUCCAUUAACCCCCAUAACUUUAAUUUGUUCACAAGUCAGAACCAACAAAACAAAGACCAAAAUUGGCACAAAUCACAUAUUAAAAGGACCAAAAAUUUAGGCAAUUAAACCUUCAAUUAACCCUAUCCCUAAAUCAAUUCUGAAAUAAAGGGGGAAUAGAAAUCGACAAGAGAUUAACACCCAAACGACUCACACCAAAAAGACUGUUAAGCUUACUAAUCCAACUAUUGUGAUGAAGAUUUAAAUAAGUUCUAACAAUAUAUGAAAUUGAACUAAAAUCAAUUUUACAAUUGGAACCAUGCAAGCUAAGACAAUUAUGAAAUAUAAACAGUGAGAGUCCUUACCUCAAACCUGACCCAGGAAAGAUAAAAACGAUGAACUCCAGCAGGUGAAUACAAAUAAUGAGUUUUGACCGGAAUCGAUAAAUCUAUCCAAAUUCUAUGGUCUCGAAAUGGCUUAAAACUAUCGUCAAUCGAUUGCUCAUAUUGAGAGAAAUCUAUUAAUGUAAGUUUUCAGUCAAAGCGAGUCAGAUUUUUUUGUGAAAAGACGAAAAAUAAAAUUACUUUUUUUAUCUCGAAUCCCUAGAUUGAAUUUGAGAGUGGUCUGCUUGAUUUUUUAGGAGAUUAAUAGUGGAUUUGGUAUGAGGGAAUGUUGAAGGUUAUAUGGUGUCAAUUUGGGGCUAUUUGGCAAUGUGCUGCCGUCGUGGGUGAUUUCUGACAGGUGGUGCGCGACGGCGAGUAGUUGAGAGAGAUGAAAGAUUUCAAGAGCGGCUAGGUUAGGGUUCAUGGUUAGAGAUAGGAAAAUGGGGGGUUCUAAGAGGUCUCGGGGGGAGGGGUCUUAAGACACUAAUAUAUAAAUAAACAAGCCUAGUUUCCAUCUGCUUGAUCCAAACAGGUCAAUGGAUGGGAUUUGAUGCUCACGAAAUGGUGUCGUUUGGCUCCUUUUUCGCUCUCUCUAUCUGCAACGGUCAAGAAACCCCCAGAUCUAGUCAAAUAGCUGGCGAAUUUCCGCCACCUACGACCACCUCCACCAACAGCCGGCACACGCCGCCGACCACUAUUUUCCACCGGAAACGGUUUGUUUUCUAUUCUCUUAUUUAUUCCUCUCAUCAGUUUUCUAUCUCAGCUUCAUACUAACAUUUCUAUCGGAUUUUGAAGCUCCAAUUUCGUGUCUCCAGGUUUCAGAGGGUUGUUUCUUCUUGUGAUUCUUGUCUAUUUCCUGUUUUAAUAUCUUUAUACAUAAUAGAAAAUCAAAGACUGUCAGCCUAAGUCUGUUUCCGGCAGACCCAUUUUUCUGUUAUUUUCCUAUCUCUCGUUGUCCCGAUUAUUUUUAUCUGUUGUGGUGCCGAUUAUUUUCCUUUCUAGUAUUGUCUAUUUCUGUCUUAUAGGCUGUUCGCCGGCGAUUUUUCCGGCCAUCCCUGCUCUUUUCUUCCUAUUCUCUCUUCUGCUUUUUGUGGGUGUGUGUGCGUGUGUUCUGUUUUCUUGGACAGAUACCUUAUUUUUCCAGCGAGGAUUUCCGGCAAGCUAUAGUACUUCCGGUGACUCCCGUUCAGACUUUCGGCAGGACGCAAUUGAACUACACGUGGUAUUGUCUAUUUCUGUCUUAUAGGCUGUUCGGCGGCGAUUUUUCCGGCGACCACUGCUCUUUUCUUCCUAUUCUCUCCUCUGCUUUUUGUGGGUGUGUGUGGGUGUGUUCUAUUUUCUUGGACAGGUACCUUAUUAUUUCCGGCGAGGAUUUCUGGCAAGCUACAGUACAUCCGGCGACUCCCGUUCUGACUUUCGGCAGGACGUAAUUGAAGUACACGUUCCGAUAAGCUUAUGGAAAACUUGCCCCAGGUAAUAGUUGCGGUGGCGAGGACAACUUGCGGCGUUUGAGAGUGAAGAGCUAAGCAACACCGGCCUUGACGUGCAAGAAUCGAUAGUAGUUGACCUUGGGCGCAUCAAAGUCUACUUUCAGGUUUUUCCACCGGGAGUUUGU